This 486-nucleotide ribosomal RNA is filed under the name uncultured bacterium. RNAcentral's name for it is "partial 16S ribosomal RNA". It matches the Rfam family "Bacterial small subunit ribosomal RNA", at positions 30 to 507 of the family's 1533-position model. The record is from RNAcentral.
AUUGAACGCUGGCGGCAUGCCUUACACAUGCAAGUCGAACGGCAGCACGGGUGCUUGCACCUGGUGGCGAGUGGCGAACUGGUGAGUAAUACAUCGGAACAUGUCCUGUAGUGGGGGAUAGCCCGGCGAAAGCCGGAUUAAUACCGCAUACGAUCUACGGAUGAAAGCGGGGGACCUUCGGGCCUCGCGCUAUCGGGUUGGCCGAUGGCUGAUUAGCUAGUUGGUGGGGUAAAGGCCUACCAAGGCGACGAUCAGUAGCUGGUCUGAGAGGACGACCAGCCACACUGGGACUGAGACACGGCCCAGACUCCUACGGGAGGCAGCAGUGGGGAAUUUUGGACAAUGGGCGAAAGCCUGAUCCAGCAAUGCCGCGUGUGUGAAGAAGGCCUUCGGGUUGUAAAGCACUUUUGUCCGGAAAGAAAUCCUUGGCCCUAAUACGGUCGGGGGAUAACGGUACCGGAAGAAUAAGCACCGGCUAACUACGUG